Molecule: long non-coding RNA, 266 nt
Filed under: Elaeis guineensis (African oil palm)
Lineage: Eukaryota; Viridiplantae; Streptophyta; Magnoliopsida; Arecales; Arecaceae
Description: long non-coding RNA (EGUI_LNC044336)
Source: RNAcentral
AUGGCACAUAUUUCAAAGUUUGAAUAUAUUUCAAUCAGAAGAAAUGCUCUCAUGAACUCACGCCUCUUGGCAUUUCUUAAUGUUGCACACGCUAAGAUCUUUGGGGUGACUUACAUUCCAUCAGGCCAUGGAACACUUUAAUUAUUGGGCCAUGCUGAUAAAGGGCUGAGAGGGCUUCUUGAUAGGCAUGGAAAUCAGAUUUAUCUAGAGCUUUAAGACUCUUUAACUGAUUAAAAAAAUUUUAGCCUUAUCCCUUGUGGCGCUAG